GGAAAAGACAAACAUCUCUGAGCUGCUU
RNAcentral lists this non-coding RNA (28 nucleotides) under Cricetulus griseus (Chinese hamster). The record is from RNAcentral. Lineage: Eukaryota; Metazoa; Chordata; Mammalia; Rodentia; Cricetidae.